GAUGAACGCUGGCGGCGUGCCUAAUACAUGCAAGUCGAGCGAACAGACGAGGAGCUUGCUCCUCUGACGUUAGCGGCGGACGGGUGAGUAACACGUGGAUAACCUACCUAUAAGACUGGGAUAAUUUCGGGAAACCGGAGCUAAUACCGGAUAAUAUAUUGAACCGCAUGGUUCAAUAGUGAAAGACGGUUUUGCUGUCACUUAUAGAUGGAUCCGCGCCGCAUUAGCUAGUUGGUAAGGUAACGGCUUACCAAGGCAACGAUGCGUAGCCGACCUGAGAGGGUGAUCAGCCACACUGGAACUGAGACACGGUCCAGACUCCUACGGGAGGCAGCAGUAGGGAAUCUUCCGCAAUGGGCGAAAGCCUGACGGAGCAACGCCGCGUGAGUGAUGAAGGUCUUCGGAUCGUAAAACUCUGUUAUUAGGGAAGAACAAAUGUGUAAGUAACUAUGCACGUCUUGACGGUACCUAAUCAGAAAGCCACGGCUAACUACGUG
RNAcentral lists this ribosomal RNA (497 nucleotides) under uncultured bacterium. RNAcentral's name for it is "partial 16S ribosomal RNA". It matches the Rfam family "Bacterial small subunit ribosomal RNA", at positions 28 to 507 of the family's 1533-position model. The record is from RNAcentral.